UAUAGGAGGUCCAGCCUGCCCAGUGACCGCAAGUUCAACGGCCGCGGUAUUUUGACCGUGCAAAGGUAGCGCAAUCACUUGUCUUUUAAAUAGAGACCUGUAUGAAUGGCUAAACGAGGGCUUAACUGUCUCCCUUUUCAGGUCAGUGAAAUUGAUCUACCCGUGCAGAAGCGGGUAUAACAAUACAAGACGAGAAGACCCUUUGGAGCUUAAGGUACAAAACUCAACCACGUCAAGCAACUUAAUAAAAAGUAAAAACUUUGUGAGGCAUGAGAUUUUACCUUCGGUUGGGGCGACCACGGAGGAAAAAAGAGCCUCCAAGUGGACCGGGACAAACUCCUAAAACCAAGAGAGACAUCUCUAAGCCACAGAACAUCUGACCAAACAUGAUCCGGCCACCAGGACCGAUCAACGAACCAAGUUACCCUAGGGAUAACAGCGCAAUCCCCUCCCAGAGUCCAUAUCGACGAGGGGGUUUACGACCUCGAUGUUGGAUCAGGACAUCCUAAUGGUGCAGCCGCUAUUAAGGGUUCGUUUGUUCAACGAUUAAAGUCCUACGUGA
RNAcentral lists this ribosomal RNA (562 nucleotides) under Neolissochilus hexastichus (brown mahseer). Its description in RNAcentral is "partial 16S ribosomal RNA". It matches the Rfam family "Bacterial large subunit ribosomal RNA", at positions 1844 to 2603 of the family's 2925-position model. The record is from RNAcentral. Lineage: Eukaryota; Metazoa; Chordata; Actinopteri; Cypriniformes; Cyprinidae.